Molecule: transfer RNA, 76 nt
Filed under: Acidobacteriota bacterium
Lineage: Bacteria; Pseudomonadati; Acidobacteriota
Also listed under: 5 other names
Description: Acidobacteria bacterium (activated sludge metagenome) tRNA-Thr
Rfam family: tRNA
About the family: Transfer RNA (tRNA) molecules are approximately 80 nucleotides in length. Their secondary structure includes four short double-helical elements and three loops (D, anti-codon, and T loops). Further hydrogen bonds mediate the characteristic L-shaped molecular structure. tRNAs have two regions of fundamental functional importance: the anti-codon, which is responsible for specific mRNA codon recognition, and the 3' end, to which the tRNAs corresponding amino acid is attached (by aminoacyl-tRNA synthetases). tRNAs cope with the degeneracy of the genetic code in two manners: having more than one tRNA (with a specific anti-codon) for a particular amino acid; and 'wobble' base-pairing, i.e. permitting non-standard base-pairing at the 3rd anti-codon position.
Source: RNAcentral
GCCGGUGUAGCUCAGUUGGUAGAGCAGUUGAUUUGUAAUCAUCAGGUCGUAAGUUCGAGUCUUAUCACCGGCUCCA